CCUACGGGAGGCAGCAGUGGGGAAUAUUGGACAAUGGGGGGAACCCUGAUCCAGCGACGCCGCGUGAGUGAAGAAGUAUUUCGGUAUGUAAAGCUCUAUCAGCAGGGAAGAAAGAAAUGACGGUACCUGACUAAGAAGCCCCGGCUAACUACGUGCCAGCAGCCGCGGUAAGACGUAGGGGGCAAGCGUUAUCCGGAUUUAAUGGGUGUAAAGGGAGCGUAGACGGGCAUGCAAGUCUGAAGUGAAAGGCGGGGGCCCAACCCCCGGACUGCUUUGGAAACUGUAUGGCUGGAGUGCAGGAGAGGUAAGUGGAAUUCCUAGUGUAGCGGUGAAAUGCGUAGAUAUUAGGAGGAACACCAGUGGCGAAGGCGGCUUACUGGACUGUAACUGACGUUGAGGCUCGAAAGCGUGGGGAGCAAACAGGAUUAGAUACCCCGGUAGUC
Molecule: ribosomal RNA, 443 nt
Filed under: uncultured bacterium
Lineage: Bacteria
Description: partial 16S ribosomal RNA
Rfam family: Bacterial small subunit ribosomal RNA
Source: RNAcentral